Molecule: signal recognition particle RNA, 99 nt
Filed under: Betaproteobacteria bacterium
Lineage: Bacteria; Pseudomonadati; Pseudomonadota; Betaproteobacteria
Description: signal recognition particle sRNA small type
Rfam family: Bacterial small signal recognition particle RNA
About the family: The signal recognition particle (SRP) is a universally conserved ribonucleoprotein involved in the co-translational targeting of proteins to membranes. Archaeal SRP consists of a 7S RNA and homologues of the eukaryotic SRP19 and SRP54 proteins. In most bacteria, the SRP consists of a 4.5S RNA and the Ffh protein (a homologue of the eukaryotic SRP54 protein).
Source: RNAcentral
GGCGGGCCUCCCCGCAUUGCAGUGUAGUGAACCUGGUCAGGUCCGGAAGGAAGCAGCCACAGCUACGUCCUGCAAGUGCCGGGGGUUGGGCUCGCCACC